RNAcentral lists this ribosomal RNA (253 nucleotides) under uncultured bacterium. RNAcentral describes it as "partial 16S ribosomal RNA". It matches the Rfam family "Bacterial small subunit ribosomal RNA", at positions 524 to 776 of the family's 1533-position model. The record is from RNAcentral.
UACAGAGGGGGCGAGCGUUGUUCGGAAUUACUGGGCGUAAAGGGCGCGUAGGCGGCCAACUAAGUCAGACGUGAAAUCCCUCGGCUCAACCGGGGAACUGCGUCUGAUACUGGAUGGCUUGAAUUCGGGAGAGGGAUGCGGAAUUCCAGGUGUAGCGGUGAAAUGCGCAGAUAUCUGGAGGAAUACCGGUGGCGAAGGCGGCAUCCUGGACCGAGAUUGACGCUGAGGAGCGAAAGCUAGGGGAGCAAACGGG